This 229-nucleotide ribosomal RNA is filed under the name uncultured bacterium. Its description in RNAcentral is "partial 16S ribosomal RNA". It matches the Rfam family "Bacterial small subunit ribosomal RNA", at positions 568 to 796 of the family's 1533-position model. The record is from RNAcentral.
UACGUAGGCGGUUAGAUAAGUCAGAUGUGAAAGCCCUGGGCUUAACCUGGGAACUGCAUUUGAUACUGUCAGACUAGAGUGUGGUAGAGGGAAGUGGAAUUCCGGGUGUAGCGGUGAAAUGCGUAGAUAUCCGGAGGAACACCAGUGGCGAAGGCGGCUUCCUGGACCAACACUGACGCUGAGGUACGAAAGCGUGGGUAGCAAACAGGAUUAGAUACCCUGGUAGUCC